RNAcentral lists this ribosomal RNA (253 nucleotides) under uncultured bacterium. RNAcentral describes it as "partial 16S ribosomal RNA". It matches the Rfam family "Bacterial small subunit ribosomal RNA", at positions 524 to 776 of the family's 1533-position model. The record is from RNAcentral.
UACGUAGGGUGCAAGCGUUAAUCGGAAUUACUGGGCGUAAAGCGUGCGCAGGCGGCUUUGCAAGACAGAUGUGAAAUCCCCGGGCCUAACCUGGGAACUGCAUUUGUGACUGCAUGGCUGGAGUGCGGCAGAGGGGGAUGGAAUUCCGCGUGUAGCAGUGAAAUGCGUAGAUAUGCGGAGGAACACCGAUGGCGAAGGCAAUCCCCUGGGCCUGCACUGACGCUCAUGUACGAAAGCGUGGGGAGCAAACAGG